RNAcentral lists this ribosomal RNA (372 nucleotides) under uncultured Desulfocapsa sp. RNAcentral describes it as "bacterial SSU rRNA". It matches the Rfam family "Bacterial small subunit ribosomal RNA", at positions 1008 to 1382 of the family's 1533-position model. Lineage: Bacteria; Pseudomonadati; Thermodesulfobacteriota; Desulfobulbia; Desulfobulbales; Desulfocapsaceae. The record is from RNAcentral.
UAGAAAGUUACUUCGGUACAUCGGUGACAGGUGGUGCAUGGUUGUCGUCAGCUCGUGUCGUGAGAUGUUGGGUUAAGUCCCGCAACGAGCGCAACCCUUGUCUUUAGUUGCCAUCAUUCAGUUGGGCACUCUAAAGAGACUGCCGGUGUCAAACCGGAGGAAGUGGGGAUGACGUCAAGUCCUCAUGGCCUUUAUGACCAGGGCUACACACGUACUACAAUGGCCGGUACAAAGGGCAGCCACUUAGCGAUAAGGAGCCAAUCCCGUAAAGCCGGUCUCAGUCCGGAUUGGAGUCUGCAACUCGACUCCAUGAAGUUGGAAUCGCUAGUAAUCGCAGAUCAGCACGCUGCGGUGAAUACGUUCCCGGGCCUU